RNAcentral lists this ribosomal RNA (460 nucleotides) under uncultured bacterium. RNAcentral's name for it is "partial 16S ribosomal RNA". It matches the Rfam family "Bacterial small subunit ribosomal RNA", at positions 338 to 795 of the family's 1533-position model. The record is from RNAcentral.
CCUACGGGAGGCAGCAGUGAGGAAUAUUGGUCAAUGGACGAGAGUCUGAACCAGCCAAGUAGCGUGAAGGAUGACUGCCCUAUGGGUUGUAAACUUCUUUUAUAUGGGAAUAAAAUGUUCCACGUGUGGGAUUUUGUAUGUACCAUAUGAAUAAGGAUCGGCUAACUCCGUGCCAGCAGCCGCGGUAAUACGGAGGAUCCGAGCGUUAUCCGGAUUUAUUGGGUUUAAAGGGAGCGUAGGUGGAUUGUUAAGUCAGUUGUGAAAGUUUGCGGCUCAACCGUAACAUUGCAGUGGAAACUGGCAGUCUUGAGUACAGUAGAGGUGGGCGGAAUUCGUGGUGUAGCGGUGAAAUGCUUAGAUAUGACGAAGAACUCCGAUUGCGAAGGCAGCUUACUGGACUGCAACUGACGCUGAGGCUCGAAAGUGUGGGUAUCAAACAGGAUUAGAUACCCGAGUAGUC